AUUGAACGCUGGCGGUAUGCUUAACACAUGCAAGUCGAACGGAAACGAUAAGAAGUUUACUUCUUAGGCGUCGAGUGGCGGACGGGUGAGUAAUGCAUGGGAACUUGCCUAUUAGUGGGGGAUAAGCUAGAGAAAUUUAGUCUAAUACCGCAUAAUCUCUACGGAGGAAAGCGGGGGAUCUUUUGACCUCGUGCUGAUAGAUAGGCCCAUGUCGGAUUAGCUAGUUGGUAAGGUAAUGGCUUACCAAGGCGACGAUCCGUAGCUGGUUUGAGAGGAUGAUCAGCCACACUGGGACUGAGACACGGCCCAGACUCCUACGGGAGGCAGCAGUGGGGAAUAUUGGACAAUGGGCGCAAGCCUGAUCCAGCAAUACCGCGUGUGUGAAGAAGGCCUCGGUUGUAAG
RNAcentral lists this ribosomal RNA (403 nucleotides) under uncultured bacterium. RNAcentral's name for it is "bacterial SSU rRNA". It matches the Rfam family "Bacterial small subunit ribosomal RNA", at positions 30 to 429 of the family's 1533-position model. The record is from RNAcentral.